RNAcentral lists this long non-coding RNA (540 nucleotides) under Lathyrus oleraceus (garden pea). Its description in RNAcentral is "Pisum sativum (pea) long non-coding RNA (PSAT_LNC009182)". Lineage: Eukaryota; Viridiplantae; Streptophyta; Magnoliopsida; Fabales; Fabaceae. The record is from RNAcentral.
UUAAUGUUUCUCAUUUCAACAUGUUAGUGGUGCUGUGUCUUUGAAAUCAAUGGGUAUUUAGCUAUUUUUAUGGAAACUCCAAACUAAAGAAUGAAGAUGUGGAUGUCACAACAACAUAGGUUUGAUCUAUAUUCACACAUAUUCAGAAAUUUAGGAAUACCAUAGUUGUUAACAACAAACACCAUGACCAUAAGCCAGGUGCAGUCUACUAUAUUCACACAUAUUCAGAAAUUUAGGAAUACCAUAGUUGUUAACAACAAACACCAUGACCAUAAGCCAGGUGCAGUCUGUGGUUCCUGCUUUGAGCCUUCUUGGUUUCAAGAAAGGCGCGAUUGUGCAUGACCACCGCAACCUCCUGAAAUAGUUAGUUUAAGCAACAACAAAUUGACAUAAUUAAUUUCCCAACACAGGGAAAAUCUACCAUUCACACCCAAUGAGUAGCAACUGUAAAAAUAAUAUGAAUCAUACAGGCACUAAUGACAGAGUCAUUGACAAAAUUAAACUUCUCAGUCAAAUGUAUGCCCUCAAGCUUCCCAUUAA